UACGUAGGGAGCAAGCGUUGUCCGGAAUCAUUGGGCGUAAAGCGCGUGUAGGCGGUUACAUAAGUCUGUUGUGAAAGCCGGAGGCUCAACCUUCGAAAGCCGAUGGAUACUGUGUGACUUGAGUACGGAAGAGGAGAGUGGAAUUCCUGGUGUAGCGGUGAAAUGCGCAGAUAUCAGGAGGAACACCAACGGCGAAGGCAGCUCUCUGGGACGUUACUGACGCUGAGACGCGAAAGCGUGGGGAGCAAACAGG
RNAcentral lists this ribosomal RNA (253 nucleotides) under uncultured bacterium. RNAcentral's name for it is "partial 16S ribosomal RNA". It matches the Rfam family "Bacterial small subunit ribosomal RNA", at positions 524 to 776 of the family's 1533-position model. The record is from RNAcentral.